AAUGGCUGAGUUAGAUAAGCGAAAGAUUGUAGCUCUUUUGACGGAGGGAAGCCUCCUUUCGUAA
This 64-nucleotide transfer RNA is filed under the name Astralium haematragum. RNAcentral's name for it is "tRNA-Tyr". The record is from RNAcentral. Lineage: Eukaryota; Metazoa; Mollusca; Gastropoda; Trochida; Turbinidae.